RNAcentral lists this ribosomal RNA (459 nucleotides) under uncultured Campylobacterota bacterium. RNAcentral describes it as "bacterial SSU rRNA". It matches the Rfam family "Bacterial small subunit ribosomal RNA", at positions 32 to 502 of the family's 1533-position model. The record is from RNAcentral. Lineage: Bacteria; Pseudomonadati; Campylobacterota.
AACGCUGGCGGCGUGCUUUAUACAUGCAAGUCGAACGAGAACGGAUUAUAGCUUGCUAUAAUUGUCAGCUAAGUGGCGCACGGGUGAGUAAUAUAUAGGUAACAUGCCUUCAAGAAGGGGAUAACGUUUGGAAACGGACGCUAAGACCCUAUAUGCCUUUAAAACAUAAGUUUGCAAGGGAAAUAUUAAUAGCUUGAAGAUUGGCCUGUAGAGUAUCAGCUAGUUGGUAAGGUAAAGGCUUACCAAGGCUAUGACACUUAACUGGUUUGAGAGGAUGAUCAGUCACACUGGAACUGAGACACGGUCCAGACUCCUACGGGAGGCAGCAGUAGGGAAUAUUGCACAAUGGAGGGAACUCUGAUGCAGCAACGCCGCGUGGAGGAAGACACAUUUCGGUGCGUAAACUCCUUUUAUAUAGGAAGAUAAUGACGGUACUAUAUGAAUAAGCACCGGCUAACU